CCUGAUCCAGCCAUGCCGCGUGUGUGAAGAAGGUCUUCGGAUUGUAAAGCACUUUAAGUUGGGAGGAAGGGCAGUAAAUUAAUACUUUGCUGUUUUGACGUUACCGACAGAAUAAGCACCGGCUAACUUCGUGCCAGCAGCCGCGGUAAUACGAAGGGGGCUAGCGUUGCUCGGAAUCACUGGGCGUAAAGGGCGCGUAGGCGGCCAUUCAAGUCGGGGGUGAAAGCCUGUGGCUCAACCACAGAAUUGCCUUCGAUACUGUUUGGCUUGAGUAUGGUAGAGGUCGGUGGAACUGCGAGUGUAG
This 304-nucleotide ribosomal RNA is filed under the name Conticribra weissflogii. RNAcentral describes it as "partial Bacterial small subunit ribosomal RNA". It matches the Rfam family "Bacterial small subunit ribosomal RNA", at positions 382 to 678 of the family's 1533-position model. The record is from RNAcentral. Lineage: Eukaryota; Bacillariophyta; Thalassiosirophyceae; Thalassiosirales; Thalassiosiraceae.